CCUACGGGAGGCAGCAGUAGGGAAUUUUCGUCAAUGGGCGCAAGCCUGAACGAGCAAUGCCGCGUGAACGAGGAAGGUCUUCGGAUCGUAAAGCUCUGUUGAAGGGGAAAAAGAGCGGAGAGAGGAAAUGCUCUCUGAUUGAUAUUAUCCUUCGAGGAAGUCACGGCUAACUACGUGCCAGCAGCCGCGGUAAUACGUAGGUGGCGAGCGUUAUCCGGAUUGAUUGGGCGUAAAGGGUGCGUAGGCGGCCUGCUAAGUCUGGAGUGAAAGGUACCGGCUCAACCGGUACAGGCUCUGGAAACUGGCGGGCUAGAGAGCAGGAGAGGGCGGUGGAACUCCAUGUGUAGCGGUAAAAUGCGUAGAUAUAUGGAAGAACACCAGUGGCGAAGGCGGCCGCCUGGCCUGUUACUGACGCUGAGGCACGAAAGCGUGGGGAGCAAAUAGGAUUAGAUACCCGUGUAGUC
RNAcentral lists this ribosomal RNA (464 nucleotides) under uncultured bacterium. RNAcentral's name for it is "partial 16S ribosomal RNA". It matches the Rfam family "Bacterial small subunit ribosomal RNA", at positions 338 to 795 of the family's 1533-position model. The record is from RNAcentral.